This 332-nucleotide ribosomal RNA is filed under the name uncultured bacterium. RNAcentral describes it as "partial 16S ribosomal RNA". It matches the Rfam family "Bacterial small subunit ribosomal RNA", at positions 338 to 667 of the family's 1533-position model. The record is from RNAcentral.
CCUACGGGAGGCAGCAGUGAGGAAUAUUGGUCAAUGGACGCAAGUCUGAACCAGCCAUGCCGCGUGCAGGAAGACGGCUCUAUGAGUUGUAAACUGCUUUUGUACGGGGGUAAACGAAGAUACGCGUAUCUUUCUGAAAGUAUCGUACGAAUAAGGAUCGGCUAACUCCGUGCCAGCAGCCGCGGUAAUACGGAGGAUUCAAGCGUUAUCCGGAUUUAUUGGGUUUAAAGGGUGCGUAGGCGGUCGGUUAAGUUAGAGGUGAAAUCCCGAGGCUCAACUGCGGCAUUGCCGCUGAUACUGGGCGGCUAGAGUGUGGCUGCGGUAGGCGGAAU